Molecule: long non-coding RNA, 1062 nt
Organism: Girardinichthys multiradiatus
Lineage: Eukaryota; Metazoa; Chordata; Actinopteri; Cyprinodontiformes; Goodeidae
Exons: 3
Source: RefSeq, a predicted model, not a curated record
UUCAGUGCCGGGAUACAAGUACGUCUCCACCUGUCAUGAGGCGCUUUGUGUCAUAACGUCUGCCUGCUCCUGGUGUUGCAGCUGCUAACUGUUCUCUGCCCGUCCUCUGCGGGUUACCAGUACCGAUCCGUCCUUUGUGUGUGUUGUAUGGCUGAAAGAUGGUGGGGCCGUAAUCUACUGGUUUGUCGCUAUUGAAUGAGCUCUCCUGUUGGCUUCCAACUGGAUGUCACUCGCUGCUGUUUUUUCUACCGGAAGACCAAUUCAAGACCAACUUGGGCCAGCCCCUGCUGGUGGGGUUUUGGCUACACCACUUUUAACGGAAUUGACUGAAUUGUUGUAUUUGUUGUGACGCCAUUGUUUUAUUUGGUCUGUGUUUGUUUAUCACUUCAAGGAACUGAGGCUCCAUGUGGUGGCGGUGGUGACUCUUGGUGGCGGUGUCCCGUAUUGUGUGUUUAUUUUGUUGGAGCACCCUUUUUCUCCUUGUUUGAUGUUUUUUUUUUUUUUGUAGUGUCUAGGGUGAUCCCUUUUCUUCACUGGAUGUUGCCCCUUUUUCUUCAGUCCUUUCCCUCUCCCCACUGGCAAAACAGCAGCGAGCCCACCUUACCACAAAGGACGAAUCAUGGCUGAUGAGGUUGAAGAAAUGCAGGACUUGAUUGCCCAAUUGAAAGCAAACAACGACCAAUUACGUCAGGAACAGUCACUCUGCCCCAGGAACUGAGGCUCUGUGUGGAGGCGGUGGCGACUCUUGGUGGCGGUGUCCCGUAUUGUGUGUUUAUUUUGUUGGAGCACCCUUUUUCUUGUUUGAUGUGGGUUUUUUUUUGUAGUGUCUAGGGUGAUCCCUUUUUUUCACUGGAUGUUGCCCCUUUUUCUUCAGUCCUUUCCCUCUCCCCACUGGUAAGCCUCAGUGUUCCCUGAAAUUAAACAUUGUUUGUUCAGCCCAAAUCUUAUCAAGCAAUUGUUGAAUUGUUUUAUCUUUGCCAUUUUAAAAUACUGGAAAUGAAAAGAAAUCUUUUUAACUAUUGACUUGUUUGGCACAUUAAUACAUUUUGUAAAACUUUGGAA